This 3899-nucleotide long non-coding RNA is filed under the name Homo sapiens (human). RNAcentral describes it as "HSALNT0068491". Lineage: Eukaryota; Metazoa; Chordata; Mammalia; Primates; Hominidae. The record is from RNAcentral.
CUGCCCGUUCUCAGAUCUCCAGCUGCAUACUGGGAGAACCACUGCUCUCUUCAAAGCUGUCAGACAGGGACAUUUAAGUCUGCAGAGGUUACUGCUGUCUUUUUGUUUGUCUGUGCCCUGCCCCCAGAGGUGGAGCCUACAGAGGCAGGCAGGCCUCCUUGAGCUGUGGUGGGCUCCGCCCAGUUCGAGCUUCCCAGCUGCUUUGUUUACCUAAUCAAGCCUGGGCAAUGGCGGGCGCCCCUCCCCCAGCCUCGCUGCCGCCUUGCAGUUUGAUCUCAGACUGCUGUGCUAGCAAUCAGCGAGACUCCGUGGGCAUAGGACCCUCCAAGUCAGGUGCGGGAUAUAAUCUCGUGGUGCUCCAUUUUUUAAGCCCGUCGGAAAAGCGCAGUAUUUGGGUGGGAGUGACCUGAUUUUCCAGGUGCCGUCCAUCACCCCUUUCUUUGACUCAGAAAGGGAACUCCCUGACCCCUUGCGCUUCCCAAGUGAGGCAAUGCCUCGCCCUGCUUCGGCUUGCGCACGGUGCACGCACCCACUGACUUGCGCCCACUGUCUGGCACUCCCUAGAGAGAUGAAGCCGGUACCUCAGAUGGAAAUGCAGAAAUCACCCGUCUUCUGCGUCGCUCACGCUGGUUGCUGUAGACCGGAGCUGUUCCUAUUCGGCCAUCUUGGCUCCUCCCGUGAGAUUUUUAAAAACCAGAAAUGAAGGGAGCAGGUAGGAUGCCAGGAUGGGACUCGCAUCUGCUCUGGUUGAUGAGGCGCUGUGAGGAUGGCAGGGAAUGUUCUUCCCUCAGGAGGUGAGGAGAAGGUCUCUCACUCCCACAGCUUCUUCUGGUACUUUCUGGUAGAUUAGCCCAAGACCCCUGCUUUCGAUGAGAAAACCGAAGCACAAAGGCGCUAAGUAAAUUGCGCACCCACACAUAGCUAAGAAGCGGCAGAGCUGGACGAAACCUCUGCACUCACCACUUCCGUGGCUGUGCUUUGUUUCACGAGGUGAGACAAAUCAGCUGAGGAAGUAGAACAUAGGCCCUAAUGACUAACAAGCCUAUGAAAAGCAAGUCCCGCUUCUGAUGGGGAAGCCUUAGGGGAGAAGGACCAGUGACUGGCAGACCCUCACUUGGGACAAGAACUAAUGCUGGGGUAAGACCCACCAGAAGAUUGAGUCCUGAGCACAGACACAACCCGGUGUUUGUUCUGAGAAGCUUCUGAACUAAGGCUGAGUCAGAAAAAGCCAAUGGAGAAGGCAAGAGAUACAGAGGAAACAGGGAUAACCAGCUGGCUGUGCAGAAAGCUGAAGAAGGAGUCCAGGGUGGCGGCAAUGGGCUGGGACACAGAGGGAGGAGCAGUGUCCUUGUUUUGUUACUGUUGUAACCCAAAUCAAGGAGGCCCCUUCAGGAAGUGACAGCCUCCAACCAUGUCCAAUCCUUCUGCUUAGAAAGGGAUUCUUCUUUACGUGACCCUGGUCAUGCAACUAGUGAUGGGGUAGGGAUGUGCUGCCUGGUAGCCUUUACCGCAAGCAAAGCCAUUUACAUUUGGAUCCCUCUACAUUUUCAGCUCCACUUCUCAACCUCCCUAACCACACAAUGGCAUCCAAACCAUGCCAUUCACUUCCCCUGGAAGCCUCCAUGCCUGUGGUGGUGCUAUAGCUUCUGCCUCCACCCCUUUUCAGCUCAACAAGCUCCCCGUCACAUUGCGAGUCCUUGCCCAAACUGCAGAUCCUCUAAGAAAUCUUUCUGCCCCUUAUUUGCGCCUUCCUCUGCUCUCUUUCAGAUUUUGCAUUUGUCUCCCUUGGUAACCUAAAAAGGGAAAUUCUUUACUUUUCAUCUCAGUGUUUGUUGAGUUCAUAGUAAGCACUUGGUAAAUAUUGAAGAAGUGAACAAACAAAUAAAUGUCCUUUGAAGGAAUGCAGAUGGAGCUGGAGGCCAUUAUCCUUAGCAAACUAAUGCAGGAAGAGAAAAUCAAAUAUUGCGUGUUCUCAUUUGUAAGUGGGAGCUAAAUAAUAAGAACACAUAAACACUUAGUGGGGAGCAAUAGACACAGGGGCCUACUAGAGGGUGGAGGGUGGGAGGAGGGAGAGGAUCCAGAAAAAUAACUAAUAGACACUAGGCUUAAUACCUGGGUGACAAAACAAUCUGCACAACGAAUCCCCAUGACAAGAGUGUGCCUACAUAACAAACCUGCACAGGUACCCCUGAACUUGAAAGUUUAAAAAAAAAAUUAAAAAACCACAAAUAAAUGUCUGAAAUGCUUUAAUUAGUUCUUGUCUUCACUGGUUUGCUUUUACUGCCUGGAACUAGCAAAGGGUUAGCAGAGCUAUGAAAUGACUGUGUCACUUGCCUGUUUGUCUGGAAUCCCUUCACCACCACGUAUUAGCUGUCUGGAGAAAUCACUUAACCUUUGAACCCCAUUGUGUUUCCUCCACUGUAAAUCAGGGCAUAUAGCCCCCAUCCUGCAGCAUCUUUGUGAAGAAUCAGUGGCUAAGGAAUGCUGUGUGCUGGGUUCCAUGCCGCCAUAUUCAGUAUCAGCCAGGAAGUGGUAGAUGGUGGUGGUGGUGGUGGUGGUGAUUUAAAAAAAGAGUCAGUCUGUUGCAUUAUUUUCCUUUGCAAAAAGGUUAUUUAUUGAAAAAGUGAUUGUUGUGGGUUGAAUUGUGUCUCCCAAAAAGAUACGUUGAGUCUUAACCCUCUGUACUGUUAACAUGACCUCAUUUGGAAAUAGGGUCCUUGUAGAUGUUAUCAGAUUAGGAUGGGAUUAUACUGGAUGAGAGUGGCUCCUAAUUUAAUAGUAUUGUUAUAAGAAGAAACAAUUUUGAACACAGAGACACAGACACAGGGAGAACACCAGAUGUUGAUGGGGGCAGAAACUGAAGGGACACAUCUAAAAGCUGAGACAUGGUGAAGAAUGCCACCAAUGGCCAGAAGCCAGGAAGAGAUGAGGAAGAAUCCUGUCCUAAAAUCAUCAGAGGGAGUGUGUCCCCGAUGAUGCCUCGAUUUCAGAACUUCUAGCCUCCAGAACUAUGAGACAACGCAUUUCUCUUCUUUCAAGCCAUAUAGUUUGUGGUCUCGUGUUACGGCAGACCCAGAAACUAAUAAUUCUGUGGACUUGUGCUUCUAAAUAGAAAAUACAAACUUAUAAAUCUUUCUCAUAAAUCAUCUGAGAAGUUAGAGGCAUCUAGGAUUAAGGAGGAAAAUCCUGGUCUAUAUGUUGAGAAAAGAGGAAAAGAAGCCAAAAGACUCCAAUACAACAUGUGGAAUUUAGCAAAAUCAACAUUUGAGAUACUUUUUCAACAAUCCCGUUUCUUAACUGAGAUUUUAUUGUUGGGUUCAUAAAUUAAUUUAACAAGCAUGUUUCACCUGCAGAGAGCCGGGGUGGCCACGCUGGGAAGAGUAUGGACUUUGGAGUUGCACAGGCUUGGGUUCAAUCCAGGCUUCCCCACUUAGCAGCCAGUGGUCUCAGGCAAGUUACUUGACCUACAUGAGCCUCAGCCUCCUUCCGUGCCCAUCUCCGGGUUUGCUGUGUGGAGUCAAUAGUUGAUAUUUGUGAUAAGUGCAGCAAAGCACUGCCUGUGGGUAUGAUGCAAUCUGCUCCCAAUGUAUAUAUCCAAAGGAAACAUCUGUCCUCAACAGAAAUCAGAGCAAUCCCCAACACUUAAAGAGCAGACAUUCAUGCAGGUGGAUGAAGCAGAACCAGAGACACUUGAGCUUGACUGAAAGAAGGAGAAAGUUGCAUCAUGCUUAGAGCAGGAGUUUUCAAGAGAAGUGUGAAAAAAACACAACCCUGACAUCCACCUUGGACAGAUAUAACAGGACACGUGUUUCUCAUGUGAAGAGAUUCUUUAUUUGAUUUUCAUCACCUUUCAAUGAAAGAGUGGGUCCUGUCAGCACUACGUAAAAUAUAUAUCUUAA